GGGUUGUGAGGUUAAGCGACUAAGCGUACACGGUGGAUGCCUAGGCAGUCAGAGGCGAUGAAGGGCGUGCUAAUCUGCGAAAAGCGUCGGUAAGCUGAUAUGAAGCGUUAUAACCGACGAUACCCGAAUGGGGAAACCCAGUGCAAUACGUUGCACUAUCGUUAGAUGAAUACAUAGUCUAACGAGGCGAACCGGGGGAACUGAAACAUCUAAGUACCCCGAGGAAAAGAAAUCAACCGAGAUUCCCCCAGUAGCGGCGAGCGAACGGGGAGGAGCCCAGAGUCUGAAUCAGUUUGUGUGUUAGUGGAAGCGUCUGGAAAGUCGCACGGUACAGGGUGAUAGUCCCGUACACCAAAAUGCACAGGCUGUGAACUCGAUGAGUAGGGCGGGACACGUGACAUCCUGUCUGAAUAUGGGGGGACCAUCCUCCAAGGCUAAAUACUCCUGACUGACCGAUAGUGAACCAGUACCGUGAGGGAAAGGCGAAAAGAACCCCGGCGAGGGGAGUGAAAUAGAACCUGAAACCGUGUACGUACAAGCAGUGGGAGCACCUUCGUGGUGUGACUGCGUACCUUUUGUAUAAUGGGUCAGCGACUUAUAUUUUGUAGCAAGGUUAACCGAAUAGGGGAGCCGUAGGGAAACCGAGUCUUAACUGGGCGUCUAGUUGCAAGGUAUAGACCCGAAACCCGGUGAUCUAGCCAUGGGCAGGUUGAAGGUUGGGUAACACUAACUGGAGGACCGAACCGACUAAUGUUGAAAAAUUAGCGGAUGACUUGUGGCUGGGGGUGAAAGGCCAAUCAAACCGGGAGAUAGCUGGUUCUCCCCGAAAGCUAUUUAGGUAGCGCCUCGUGAACUCAUCUUCGGGGGUAGAGCACUGUUUCGGCUAGGGGGCCAUCCCGGCUUACCAAACCGAUGCAAACUCCGAAUACCGAAGAAUGUUAUCACGGGAGACACACGGCGGGUGCUAACGUCCGUCGUGAAGAGGGAAACAACCCAGACCGCCAGCUAAGGUCCCAAAGUCAUGGUUAAGUGGGAAACGAUGUGGGAAGGCACAGACAGCCAGGAUGUUGGCUUAGAAGCAGCCAUCAUUUAAAGAAAGCGUAAUAGCUCACUGGUCGAGUCGGCCUGCGCGGAAGAUGUAACGGGGCUAAACCAUGCACCGAAGCUGCGGCAGCGACACUUAGGUGUUGUUGGGUAGGGGAGCGUUCUGUAAGCCGUUGAAGGUGACCUGUGAGGGUUGCUGGAGGUAUCAGAAGUGCGAAUGCUGACAUAAGUAACGAUAAUGCGGGUGAAAAACCCGCACGCCGGAAGACCAAGGGUUCCUGUCCAACGUUAAUCGGGGCAGGGUGAGUCGACCCCUAAGGCGAGGCUGAAAAGCGUAGUCGAUGGGAAACAGGUUAAUAUUCCUGUACUUGGUGUUACUGCGAAGGGGGGACGGAGAAGGCUAGGCUGGCCGGGCGACGGUUGUCCCGGUUUAAGCGUGUAGGGGGAGUGACCAGGUAAAUCCGGUUGCUUAUCAACCCUGAGGCGUGAUGACGAUGCACUACGGUGCAGAAGCAGUUGAUGCCAUGCUUCCAGGAAAAGCCUCUAAGCAUCAGGUAACAUUAAAUCGUACCCCAAACCGACACAGGUGGUCAGGUAGAGAAUACUCAGGCGCUUGAGAGAACUCGGGUGAAGGAACUAGGCAAAAUGGUGCCGUAACUUCGGGAGAAGGCACGCUGGCGUUAGGUGAAAGGACUAGCUCCUGGAGCUGAAGCCAGUCGCAGAUACCAGCUGGCUGCAACUGUUUAAUAAAAACACAGCACUGUGCAAACACGAAAGUGGACGUAUACGGUGUGACGCCUGCCCGGUGCUGGAAGGUUAAUUGAUGGGGUCAGCCGCAAGGCGAAGCUCUUGAUCGAAGCCCCAGUAAACGGCGGCCGUAACUAUAACGGUCCUAAGGUAGCGAAAUUCCUUGUCGGGUAAGUUCCGACCUGCACGAAUGGCGUAAUGAUGGCCAGGCUGUCUCCACCCGAGACUCAGUGAAAUUGAACUCGCUGUGAAGAUGCAGUGUACCCGCGGCAAGACGGAAAGACCCCGUGAACCUUUACUAUAGCUUGACACUGAACAUUGAGCCUUGAUGUGUAGGAUAGGUGGGAGGCCUUGAAGUGUGGACGCCAGUCUGCAUGGAGCCAACCUUGAAAUACCACCCUUUAAUGUUUGAUGUUCUAACUCGGCCCCAUAAUCUGGGGUGAGGACAGUGUCUGGUGGGUAGUUUGACUGGGGCGGUCUCCUCCCAAAGAGUAACGGAGGAGCACGAAGGUUAGCUAAUCACGGUCGGACAUCGUGAGGUUAGUGCAAAGGCAUAAGCUAGCUUGACUGCGAGAGUGACGGCUCGAGCAGGUACGAAAGUAGGUCUUAGUGAUCCGGUGGUUCUGAAUGGAAGGGCCAUCGCUCAACGGAUAAAAGGUACUCCGGGGAUAACAGGCUGAUACCGCCCAAGAGUUCAUAUCGACGGCGGUGUUUGGCACCUCGAUGUCGGCUCAUCACAUCCUGGGGCUGAAGUAGGUCCCAAGGGUAUGGCUGUUCGCCAUUUAAAGUGGUACGCGAGCUGGGUUUAGAACGUCGUGAGACAGUUCGGUCCCUAUCUGCCGUGGGCGUUGGAAGAUUGAGAGGGGCUGCUCCUAGUACGAGAGGACCGGAGUGGACGAAUCACUGGUGUUCGGGUUGUCAUGCCAAUGGCAUUGCCCGGUAGCUAAAUUCGGAAGAGAUAACCGCUGAAAGCAUCUAAGCGGGAAACUUGCCUCGAGAUGAGUCUUCCCUGGGGCUUAAAGCCCCCUGAAGGAACGUUAAAGACUAUGACGUUGAUAGGCUGGGUGUGUAAGUGCAGCGAUGUAUUGAGCUAACCAGUACUAAUGAUCCGUGAGGCUUAACCUUACAACACCGAAGGUGUUU
RNAcentral lists this ribosomal RNA (2934 nucleotides) under Yersinia pseudotuberculosis. RNAcentral's name for it is "bacterial LSU rRNA". It matches the Rfam family "Bacterial large subunit ribosomal RNA". Lineage: Bacteria; Pseudomonadati; Pseudomonadota; Gammaproteobacteria; Enterobacterales; Yersiniaceae. The record is from RNAcentral.